Molecule: ribosomal RNA, 241 nt
Filed under: uncultured Lactobacillus sp.
Lineage: Bacteria; Bacillati; Bacillota; Bacilli; Lactobacillales; Lactobacillaceae
Description: partial 16S ribosomal RNA
Rfam family: Bacterial small subunit ribosomal RNA
Source: RNAcentral
UAACCUGCCCAAGAGAUCGGGAUAACACCUGGAAACAGAUGCUAAUACCGGAUAACAACAGAUGAUGCCUAUCAACUGUUUAAAAGAUGGUUCUGCUAUCACUCUUGGAUGGACCUGCGGUGCAUUAGCUAGUUGGUAGGGUAACGGCCUACCAAGGCGAUGAUGCAUAGCCGAGUUGAGAGACUGAUCGGCCACAUUGGGACUGAGACACGGCCCAAACUCCGUACGGGAGGCAGCAGGU